Molecule: ribosomal RNA, 1016 nt
Filed under: uncultured organism
Description: bacterial SSU rRNA
Rfam family: Bacterial small subunit ribosomal RNA
Source: RNAcentral
CGGGAGGCAGCAGUGAGGAAUAUUGCGCAAUGAGCGAAAGCUAGACGCAGCAACGCCGCGUGGGUGAUGAAGGCCUUCGGGUCGUAAAACCCUUUUCUGGGGGAAGAGUAAGGACGGUACCCCAGGAAUAAGCCUCGGCUAACUAUGUGCCAGCAGCCGCGGCAAUACAUAGGAGGCAAGCGUUAUCCGGAUUUACUGGGCGUAAAGAGCGUUGAGGCGGCUUCGUAAGUUGGACGUGAAAGCUCCCGGCUUAACUGGGAGAGGCCGUUCAAUACUGCGGGGCUUGAGGACAGCAGAGGGGGGUGGAAUUUCCGGUGUAGUGGUGAAAUGCGUAGAUAUCGGAAGGAACACCAGUGGCGAAGGCGGCCCCCUGGGCUGCUCCUGACGCUGAAGGCGAAAGCUAGGGUAGCGAACGGGAUUAGAAACCCCGGUAGUCCUAGCCGUAAACGAUGGAUACUAGGUGUAGGAGGUUAAAAUUCCUUCUGUGCCGGAGCUAACGCGUUAAGUAUCCCGCCUGGGGAGUACGGUCGCAAGGCUAAAACUCAAAGGAAUUGGCGGGGGCCCGCACAAGCAGCGGAGCGUGUGGUUUAAUUCGAUGCAACGCGAAGAACCUUACCAGGGCUUGACAUGUAGGUAGUAGUGAAGCGAAAGCGGAACGAUCCUUCGGGAAGCCUACACAGGUGCUGCAUGGCUGUCGUCAGCUCGUGCCGUGAGGUGUUAGGUUAAGUCCUGUAACGAGCGCAACCCCUGCCGUUAGUUACAAGUGUCUAACGGGACUGCCCGGCAAAACUGGGAGGAAGGUGGGGAUGACGUCAAGUCAGCAUGGCCUUUAUGUCCUGGGCUACACACACGCUACAAUGGCCGGUACAAUGGGUUGCCAAGCCGCGAGGCGGAGCCAAUCCUCUAAAGCCGGUCUCAGUUCGGAUUGUAGGCUGCAACCCGCCUGCAUGAAGUUGGAGUUGCUAGUAACCGCAGGUCAGCCACACUGCGGUGAAUACGUUCCCGGGCCUUGUACA